GCGGGGCUGGGGGACUGAGCACGAGGAGGGCGGGGCCGACGCCUCCUUCGGGGCCCUGCUGGGGCUGAGCCUCCCCUCGGCCGCCGGGGUGCUGUGGGGGUGCAGCCGCUGCUCGCAGCUCGGGGAUGUCGCUCGCUCCGUCCCGGCCGGGAGCCUCGGGGCCGCCACGGCCACGGCGCUGGGAUACCUGAGCGCGGCGCUGCUGCUGGGGGCCAGCGUGGAGGGGCAGCUGCUGCGGGACAAGUUCGGUGCCACCCUGGGCGGUGUCCCGGUGCUGGCCGCUGUCGCCUGGCCCUGGCCGUGGCUGCCCGUGCUGGGGGCGGGGCUCUCGGCGGGG
Long non-coding RNA from Melospiza melodia melodia, 337 nucleotides. RefSeq lists it as uncharacterized. NCBI's taxonomy places the organism in Eukaryota, Metazoa, Chordata, Aves, Passeriformes, Passerellidae. The transcript is spliced from 4 exons. The record is from RefSeq and is a predicted model, not a curated record.